Transfer RNA from Desulfitobacterium hafniense Y51, 71 nucleotides. It matches the Rfam family "tRNA". Rfam says of the family: Transfer RNA (tRNA) molecules are approximately 80 nucleotides in length. Their secondary structure includes four short double-helical elements and three loops (D, anti-codon, and T loops). NCBI's taxonomy places the organism in Bacteria, Bacillati, Bacillota, Clostridia, Eubacteriales, Desulfitobacteriaceae. The record is from Rfam.
GGCGGCAUAGCCAAGUGGUAAGGCAGAGGUCUGCAAAACCUUUAUCCCCAGUUCAAAUCUGGGUGCCGCCU